This 111-nucleotide ribosomal RNA is filed under the name Triticum aestivum (bread wheat). Its description in RNAcentral is "partial small subunit ribosomal RNA". The record is from RNAcentral. Lineage: Eukaryota; Viridiplantae; Streptophyta; Magnoliopsida; Poales; Poaceae.
AUGGCCCACAUAUCAGAUAUUAAACUGAUAAAAACAGAUACUACACUUGAUGUUAGCCAAAAGGCCGAGAAAGGUAUGCUUUCAAACGAUGUCUUGUGCCUUGUUUUAUAG